UGCACCUAGUAUGUGAUUUCGGUUAGGUAGAAUUACCCCAUUAGAUGGAGCCGCCCCUAUGGAAAGGCCACCAUUAGGAGGAGAGGGCUAUCAAUGAGAGGUAAACUUCCUAAUUGAAAAUGUUUUACACUUUGUUUUGAGUCGAGAGAAAAGAGCUAUCCGUUAGAUGGAGCCGCCCCUAUGGAAAGGCCACCAUUAGGAGGAGAGGGCUAUCAACGAGAUGGAGCUAGUUCUCAAUUCACCUAUUUUGAUUAUUUUUACUAAAUUGAGUUGACUAUAAUUUAAAAACAUUUUGUUUUGAGUCGAGAGAAAAGAGCUAUCCGUUAGAUGAAGCUACCACUAAGAGAAAGGCCACUCUUAGUAGGAAAGAGCUAUCAACGAGAUGGAGCUAGUUCUCGAUUCACCUAUUUUGAUUAUUUUCACUAAUUGGAGUUUUCUAUAUUUUCUUUAAAGGCUUUUAUUAUGAUUUUCGGCAAUUUAUUUUUUAAAGGCUUGUAAUUUUAUUUUCAUGUAUUUACGAUGUUGGAUUUUCGUUGAAGUAUUCCUAUUUGAUUGGAAAUAUUUACAAAGUGUGGAUUUUCAUGCGUAUAAACGGUUGUGGAUUAUUAGAAUUUUAUACGGCUAUUAGAUUUGUAAAUUGACAUUAAAUUUUGAGAAAAGAAAAUAAUCGUGCUCUUGUGUGUUUCCCUUCUAGUUGGUAGUGGUUGUUGUCUGCUCACUAAGUCUUUGUGACUUACCCCAUCAUCUUAUAUUUUUUUU
Molecule: long non-coding RNA, 759 nt
Filed under: Medicago truncatula (barrel medic)
Lineage: Eukaryota; Viridiplantae; Streptophyta; Magnoliopsida; Fabales; Fabaceae
Description: long non-coding RNA (MTRU_LNC003961)
Source: RNAcentral